This is a long non-coding RNA of Sinocyclocheilus rhinocerous, 1367 nucleotides long. RefSeq lists it as uncharacterized. Lineage: Eukaryota; Metazoa; Chordata; Actinopteri; Cypriniformes; Cyprinidae. The transcript has 2 exons. The record is from RefSeq and is a predicted model, not a curated record.
CUCUCAAAGCCACAAACUCACCUGCCAGCCUAAGCGAGAUGCAGCACCCGUUAUUAAUCAACGUCUACAGUGAGGGUAAAUCACCACAAACAAACAACAGGUUGCCUCACUGGCCAAAACUGUGUUUUCUUAAAGCCUUUUCAAACUAAGAAGUGUUGUAUCUAAUGCAGGUGGUUUUAUGUGUGUUUUAAACACCCAAGUUACUAAUAACAAAAAACUAAAAUGUAUUUUUUUCCGUCUUGGGCUUUCCUUGCUUCAUCGAUGCCUAUCUGUGUCUUUUGCUCUCAUUCAUGCAUUUUUUAAAGAAACAAAUAUUAUUGCAGGCGAUUCUUUUCGUGCACUCUGUACAGCUUACGUAAAAAAAAGCGACGAUGACUAUGAAUGAUGUAAAAGAAAUCAAACAUUUGGAGGGAUCUGACAUCCUUUACUGUAUUUACUGUAGUCACAAUGCAAACAAAAAUUGUAUAAGCUUUUUCUUUUUUUAAAAAUGCCAUAGUUUAUGCUGUAAUAAAGUGUUUCACGAUGCACAACUGUUCAUGAAAGGCAUGAAACGUUUAGGUUUGACGUGGGAAGAUAGCCAUAAAGGUUUAGUGGACAAAGAGAUUGAUAAAUGAUGAAUGGAUGGAGGGAUUCAUAUUUCUACUAGCAGUUUUGUAACUACUGAAAGAGUAACUAUAACUACAUAUUUUAUUGUCUUAUAAAAGGUACCAAAACAUAUAUAUAUGAAAUAAAAUAUGCAGCAUACACCAAAAUUAACUUGAAAUUUGAUUUAGAAUAUAUUGAUCAUAUAAAAUCUAAUUAAAUUUGUAGCAUACUAUCUUAAUAAGACAUAAAUUCGCUAUAACUAAGCAAGUACGGUAUUACAGAAGUAACAUUGGCAUGUGCUCUUAAGAGAAUGAGUCUAAUGCAUGUAGUCCGUACAUAUGAUUCAUAAGGGCUUUGUAUGUCAAGUAAGUCGCAUAUUUUCUUUGGGCAGUUAUAGGAUGGAAAUCUAUUGUAAAAAGGUUAAUCACAGCAGAAGUAUCCCAUUAAAUAGAUGCUACCUUUCAAUGUACUUUACAAACCUUUUGUUGUUUUGGUUGAGGCCCAUUUGCAGAAUGAAUCAAGGUACAUAAUCGGAUUUUGAAAAUUACAUAAUGUGUUGUGUAAAUUAUUACAAAUGCCACUACUGUUUGAUUUGUGUUUAAAUAAACGUUGUCCUUUCCGUUUAACUUCAGUGGUGCAGGGGAUGUGCAAAUAUCUAUCAUGUAAUUGUUCCUUUUUAAAGUAUUUUCUUUUCAUAUUUUUAUAUCAAUUGAAUCACCCUUUUUUGGCCAACAAUGGAGGACAUUAUGCUAAAAACUGUAAGAUAUUGUGCUUCAACUGUA